Molecule: ribosomal RNA, 253 nt
Filed under: uncultured bacterium
Lineage: Bacteria
Description: partial 16S ribosomal RNA
Rfam family: Bacterial small subunit ribosomal RNA
Source: RNAcentral
UACGAGAGGUCCAAACGUUAUUCGGAAUCACUGGGCUUACAGAGUUCGUAGGCGGUACGGAAAGUGGGGUGUGAAAGCCCUCGGCUCAACCGAGGAAUUGCGCUCCAAACUACCGUGCUAGAGGAAGAUAGAGGUGAGCAGAACUGAUGGUGGAGCGGUGAAAUGCGUUGAUAUCAUCAGGAAUACCGGAGGCGAAGGCGGCUCACUGGGUCUUUUCUGACGCUGAGGAACGAAAGCUAGGGGAGCAAACGGG